This 301-nucleotide ribosomal RNA is filed under the name uncultured bacterium. RNAcentral describes it as "partial 16S ribosomal RNA". It matches the Rfam family "Bacterial small subunit ribosomal RNA", at positions 509 to 809 of the family's 1533-position model. The record is from RNAcentral.
CAGCCGCCGCGGUAAUACGUAGGUGGCGAGCGUUGUCUGGAAUUAUUGGGCGUAAAGGGAGCGCAGGCGGGCGAGUAAGUCUUUCUUAAAAGUGCGGGGCUCAACCCCGUGAGGGGAGAGAAACUACUCAUCUUGAGUGCAGGAGAGGAAAGCGGAAUUCCUAGUGUAGCGGUGAAAUGCGUAGAUAUUAGGAAGAACACCAGUGGCGAAGGCGGCUUUCUGGACUGUAACUGACGCUGAGGCUCGAAAGCCAGGGGAGCGAACGGGAUUAGAUACCCCAGUAGUCCCUGUCUCUUAUACA